GUUUUUAUGGUGUCCACAGCACAUUAAGUUUUCAUCUUAAAAGUAUAAAUUAAAUUUAUUAAAAAUC
RNAcentral lists this transfer RNA (67 nucleotides) under Viviparus viviparus. RNAcentral describes it as "tRNA-Glu". The record is from RNAcentral. Lineage: Eukaryota; Metazoa; Mollusca; Gastropoda; Architaenioglossa; Viviparidae.